AUGUAUAUGCCUACAACAUGCACCAGAUCCCAUUAGAACUAUGUAACUAAACAUGCUUGGGUAAGGUAGUAUUGGAAUGUGUAACCUCCCAUGAAGUCCUAUUGUCUUACAUG
Non-coding RNA from Picea glauca (white spruce), 113 nucleotides. NCBI's taxonomy places the organism in Eukaryota, Viridiplantae, Streptophyta, Pinopsida, Pinales, Pinaceae. The record is from Rfam.